GGGGCAUUAGCUCAGCUGGUAGAGCGCUUCCAUGGCAUGGAAGAGGUCAACGGUUCGACUCCGUUAUGCUCCACCA
RNAcentral lists this transfer RNA (76 nucleotides) under Alphaproteobacteria bacterium. Its description in RNAcentral is "tRNA-Ala". It matches the Rfam family "tRNA". Rfam says of the family: Transfer RNA (tRNA) molecules are approximately 80 nucleotides in length. Their secondary structure includes four short double-helical elements and three loops (D, anti-codon, and T loops). The record is from RNAcentral. RNAcentral also lists the same sequence under 2 other names. Lineage: Bacteria; Pseudomonadati; Pseudomonadota; Alphaproteobacteria.